CGGCCGCGUCGACGCAGGUUACCCGCGACAGGACGGAAAGACCCCGUGGAGCUUUACUGUAGCCUGAUAUUGAAAUUCGGCACAGCUUGUACAGGAUAGGUAGGAGCCUUUGAAACGUGAGCGCUAGCUUACGUGGAGGCGUUGGUGGGAUACUACCCUAGCUGUGUUGGCUUUCUAACCCGCACCACUUAUCGUGGUGGGAGACAGUGUCAGGCGGGCAGUUUGACUGGGGCGGUCGCCUCCUAAAAGGUAACGGAGGCGCUCAAAGGUUCCCUCAGAAUGGUUGGAAAUCAUUCAUAGAGUGUAAAGGCAUAAGGGAGCUUGACUGCGAGACCUACAAGUCGAGCAGGGUCGAAAGACGGACUUAGUGAUCCGGUGGUUCCGCAUGGAAGGGCCAUCGCUCAACGGAUAAAACGCUACCCC
This 423-nucleotide ribosomal RNA is filed under the name uncultured Staphylococcus sp. Its description in RNAcentral is "bacterial LSU rRNA". It matches the Rfam family "Bacterial large subunit ribosomal RNA", at positions 2049 to 2469 of the family's 2925-position model. The record is from RNAcentral. Lineage: Bacteria; Bacillati; Bacillota; Bacilli; Caryophanales; Staphylococcaceae.